Molecule: small nuclear RNA, 19 nt
Filed under: Arabidopsis thaliana (thale cress)
Lineage: Eukaryota; Viridiplantae; Streptophyta; Magnoliopsida; Brassicales; Brassicaceae
Description: snRNA_04767
Source: RNAcentral
UGAAGCUAGAGGUGUCAGA